AGAGUUUGAUCAUGGCUCAGGACGAACGCUGGCGGCGUGCUUAACACAUGCAAGUCGAACGAAGAGCGAUGGAAGCUUGCUUCUAUCAAUCUUAGUGGCGAACGGGUGAGUAACGCGUAGUCAACCUGCCCUUCAGAGGGGGACAACAGUUGGAAACGACUGCUAAUACCGCAUACGAUCUGACCUCGGCAUCGAGGAUAGAUGAAAGGUGGCCUCUAUUUAUAAGCUAUCACUGAAGGAGGGGAUUGCGUCUGAUUAGCUAGUUGGAGGGGUAACGGCCCACCAAGGCGAUGAUGUGUAGCUGGUCUGAGAGGAUGAUCAGCCAGACUGGGAACUGAGACACGGUCCAGACUCCUACGGGAGGCAGCAGUGAGGAAUAUUUCACAAUGAGCGAAAGCUUGAUGGAGCAAUGCCGCGUGCAGGAUGAAGGCCCUCGGGUUGUAAACUGCUUUUAUAAGAGAAGA
RNAcentral lists this ribosomal RNA (464 nucleotides) under Veillonella sp. oral clone 13-14. RNAcentral describes it as "bacterial SSU rRNA". It matches the Rfam family "Bacterial small subunit ribosomal RNA", at positions 8 to 448 of the family's 1533-position model. Lineage: Bacteria; Bacillati; Bacillota; Negativicutes; Veillonellales; Veillonellaceae. The record is from RNAcentral.